AAUAGAUACCCAGGUAGUCCACGCCGUAAACGAUGAGUGCUAAGUGUUGGGGGGGUUUUCCGCCCCUCAGUGCUGCAGCUAACGCAUUAAGCACUCCGCCUGGGGAGUACGGUCGCAAGACUGAAACUCAAAGGAAUUGACGGGGGCCCGCACAAGCGGUGGAGCAUGUGGUUUAAUUCGAAGCAACGCGAAGAACCUUACCAGGUCUUGACAUCCCGGUGACCACUAUGGAGACAUAGUUUCCCCUUCGGGGGCAACGGUGACAGGUGGUGCAUGGUUGUCGUCAGCUCGUGUCGUGAGAUGUUGGGUUAAGUCCCGCAACGAGCGCAACCCUUAUUCUUAGUUGCCAUCAUUCAGUUGGGCACUCUAAGGAGACUGCCGGUGAUAAACCGGAGGAAGGUGGGGAUGACGUCAAAGUCAUCAUGCCCCUUAUGACCUGGGCUAUACACGUGCUACAAUGGACGGUACAAACGGUUGCAACCCGCGAGGGGGAGCUAAUCCGAUAAAACCGUUCUCAGUUCGGAUUGUAGGCUGCAACUCGCCUAC
RNAcentral lists this ribosomal RNA (546 nucleotides) under uncultured bacterium. RNAcentral describes it as "bacterial SSU rRNA". It matches the Rfam family "Bacterial small subunit ribosomal RNA", at positions 777 to 1319 of the family's 1533-position model. The record is from RNAcentral.